AACAAAGCAGAGAAGCCAACAUGGCAGUUUCCAAGUUUGUGCAACCCAAGAAGGCCCCAGUAAGCGACAACGUGCUCCUCCUGGUGUUGAUACAAGAAUUCACUGGGAGAAUGAAGAUGAAGGCUGGGUAGGAGGAAGUAAAUCACAGUCAGCACAAGAACGAAUCAAAGCAGACGAAAAGAAUCUCCUUGAUGAAAAAUUCUCUGACCUGCUCAACAGUUCAGCUGAUUCUCACUACCAGUUAAUCUUCAUUUUCUAUCUCCAGAAAGUUUGCUAUUAUCUUAUCUCUAAAUGUGUGGCUCACAGUUCAAAGGAGAGAGUUUCCAUUUGUUGCUUCUACUUCCCUUAAUUUAAGGAUAAGAAAAGGAUAUACAUAAAUAUAAUUGCCUGUUCUGAGAAAAUGCACACAUGAUAUAUCAGAAGGGAUAAAGUUCAAUCAGAAAAUUCUAAUUCCAAUGUUUCAGAAUCUUUCCAUAGCACGGGG
Molecule: long non-coding RNA, 484 nt
Filed under: Nicotiana tabacum (common tobacco)
Lineage: Eukaryota; Viridiplantae; Streptophyta; Magnoliopsida; Solanales; Solanaceae
Description: long non-coding RNA (NTAB_LNC009732)
Source: RNAcentral